This is a long non-coding RNA of Oncorhynchus tshawytscha (Chinook salmon), 1507 nucleotides long. The record is from Ensembl. NCBI's taxonomy places the organism in Eukaryota, Metazoa, Chordata, Actinopteri, Salmoniformes, Salmonidae.
CUGAGGGGGAACAAAAUGGUGGACUAAAAAAGCCUUCAUCAUGAGGGAGGUCAGGAGGGCUGAGGGGGAACAAAAUGGUGGACUGAAUUAGCCUUCAUCAUGAGGGAGGUCAGGAGGGCUGAGGGGGAACAAAAUGGUGGACUAAAAAGCCUUCAUCAUGAGGGAGGUCAGGAGGGCUGAGGGGGAACAAAAUGGUGGACUGAAAAAGCCUUCAUCAUGAGGGAGGUCAGGAGGGCUGAGGGGGAACAAAAUGGUGGACUGAAUUAGCCUUCAUCAUGAGGGAGGUCAGGAGGGCUGAGGGGGAACAAAAUGGUGGACUGAAUUAGCCUUCAUCAUGAGGGAGGUCAGGAGGGCUGAGGGGGAACAAAAUGGUGGACUGAAAAAGCCUUCAUCAGUUGUUAUAAAGACUGACACUACAAGCUUCCUGUUGGUUGACAGACCCAUUGCUUCACCAAUGAAGUUUGUAUUAAAGGCUGUGUGUUCCAACUGGCUGCCUAUUCCCUAAAUAAUGCACUUCCUAUGGCUCUGGUCAAAAGUAGUGCACUAUAUAGGGAUUAGGGUGCCAGUUGGCUGAAAGCUCCAAGUAUGGGAAGCAUUGAUAAAGGGGGGGACAGGACAUGGGAAACACUGGUAAAGGGGAGGACAGGACAUGGGAAACACUGGUAAAGGGGAGACAGGACAUGGGAAACACUGGUAAAGGGGGGACAGGACAUGGGAAACACUGGUAAAGGGGGGCCAGGACAUGGGAAACAUCUGUAAAGGGGGACAGGACAUGGGAAACACUGGUAAAGGGGGGACAGGACAUGGGAAACACUGGUAAAGGGGGACUUGGGGUCUGGGAAACACUGGUAAAGGGGGGAUAGGACAGGGGUCUGGGAAACACUGGUAAAGGGGGGGACUUGGGGUCUGGGAAACACUGGUAAAGGGGAGGACUUGGGGUCUGGGAAACACUGGUAAAGGGGAGGACUUGGGGUCUGGGAAACACUGGUAAAGGGGAGGACUUGGAGUCUGGGAAACACUGGUAAAGGGGGGACUUGGGGUCUGGGAAACACUGGUAAAGGAGAGGACUUGGGAAACAUUGGUAAAUGGGAGGACUUGGGGUCUGGGAAACACUGGUAAAGGGGAGGACUUGGGGUCUGGGAAACACUGGUAAAUGGGAGGACUUGGAGUCUGGGAAACAUUGGUAAAUGGGAGGACUUGGGGUCUGGGAAACACUGGUAAAGGAGAGGACUUGGGAAACAUUGGUAAAUGGGAGGACUUGGGGUCUGGGAAACACUGGUAAAGGGGAGGACUUGGGAAACAUUGGUAAAUGGGAGGACUUGGGGUCUGGGAAACAUUGGUAAAUGGGAGGACUUGGGGUCUGGGAAACAUUGGUAAAUGGGAGGACUUGGGGUCUGGGAAACACUGGUAAAGGGGAGGACUUGGGAAACACUGGUAAAGGGGAGGACUUGGGAAACAUUGGUAAAUGGGAGGACUUGGGGUCUGGGAAACAUUGGUAAAAACUUGG